UUUGUAUUACGUGCGGAAAUUGUUACCAUUCUUGAGCCGAAAAUGGUAACAAUUUCCGCACGUACGAUACAAA
Molecule: microRNA precursor, 73 nt
Filed under: Paramuricea clavata
Lineage: Eukaryota; Metazoa; Cnidaria; Anthozoa; Malacalcyonacea; Plexauridae
Source: RNAcentral